RNAcentral lists this ribosomal RNA (301 nucleotides) under uncultured bacterium. Its description in RNAcentral is "partial 16S ribosomal RNA". It matches the Rfam family "Bacterial small subunit ribosomal RNA", at positions 509 to 807 of the family's 1533-position model. The record is from RNAcentral.
CAGCCGCCGCGGGAAUACGAAGGGUGCAAGCGUUAAUCGGAAUUACUGGGCGUAAAGCGUGCGUAGGCGGUUUGUUAAGUCUGUUGUGAAAUCCCCGGGCUCAACCUGGGAAUGGCAAUGGAUACUGGCAAGCUAGAGUGUGUCAGAGGAUGGUGGAAUUCCCGGUGUAGCGGUGAAAUGCGUAGAGAUCGGGAGGAACAUCAGUGGCGAAGGCGGCCAUCUGGGACAACACUGACGCUGAGGCAUGAAAGCGUGGGGAGCAAACAGGAUUAGAUACCCCCGUAGUCCCUGUCUCUUAUAC